AAAUUUAUAGUAAGAGGAAAAUCCGUCGAUCAAAAAUCAUGAGGGUUCAAGUCCCUCUAUCCCCA
Molecule: transfer RNA, 65 nt
Filed under: Bellium bellidioides
Lineage: Eukaryota; Viridiplantae; Streptophyta; Magnoliopsida; Asterales; Asteraceae
Also listed under: 3 other names
Description: partial tRNA-Leu
Source: RNAcentral